This 328-nucleotide ribosomal RNA is filed under the name uncultured eukaryote. RNAcentral's name for it is "partial 18S ribosomal RNA". It matches the Rfam family "Eukaryotic small subunit ribosomal RNA", at positions 1470 to 1796 of the family's 1831-position model. The record is from RNAcentral.
CCCUUAGAUGUCCUGGGCCGCACGCGCGUUACACUGAUGCAUUCAACGAGCUUAUAACCUUGGCCGAGAGGCCUGGGCUAUCUUGUUAACGUGCAUCGUGAUAGGGAUAGAUUAUUGAAAUUAUUAAUCUUGAACGAGGAAUUCCUAGUAAACGCAGAUCAUCAAUCUGCAUUGAUUACGUCCCUGCCCUUUGUACACACCGCCCGUCGCACCUACCGAUUGGAUGGUCCGGUGAAGCCUCGGGAUUGUGGUUCUUGCCGCUUUAUUGUGGCGUGACCGCGAGAACUUGUCUAAACCUUAUCAUCUAGAGGAAGGUGAAGUCGUAACA